RNAcentral lists this ribosomal RNA (700 nucleotides) under uncultured bacterium. RNAcentral's name for it is "bacterial SSU rRNA". It matches the Rfam family "Bacterial small subunit ribosomal RNA", at positions 87 to 773 of the family's 1533-position model. The record is from RNAcentral.
AUUCGUUAGCGGCGGACGGGUGAGUAACACGUGGGCAACCUGCCCUGUAGACGGGGAUAACACCGAGAAAUCGGUGCUAAUACCGGAUAACAUGAAAUGUCGCAUGACGUUUCGUUGAAAGACGGCGCAAGCUGUCGCUACAGGAUGGGCCCGCGGCGCAUUAGCUAGUUGGUGAGGUAACGGCUCACCAAGGCGACGAUGCGUAGCCGACCUGAGAGGGUGAUCGGCCACACUGGGACUGAGACACGGCCCAGACUCCUACGGGAGGCAGCAGUAGGGAAUCUUCCGCAAUGGGCGAAAGUCUGACGGAGCAACGCCGCGUGAGCGAAGAAGGCCUUCGGGUCGUAAAGCUCUGUUGUUAGGGAAGAACAAGUAACGCAGUAACUGGCGUUACCGUGACGGUACCUAACGAGAAAGCCACGGCUAACUACGUGCCAGCAGCCGCGGUAAUACGUAGGUGGCAAGCGUUGUCCGGAAUUAUUGGGCGUAAAGCGCGCGCAGGCGGUUCCUUAAGUCUGAUGUGAAAGCCCACGGCUCAACCGUGGAGGGUCAUUGGAAACUGGGGGACUUGAGUGCAGAAGAGGAGAGCGGAAUUCCACGUGUAGCGGUGAAAUGCGUAGAGAUGUGGAGGAACACCAGUGGCGAAGGCGGCUCUCUGGUCUGUAACUGACGCUGAGGCGCGAAAGCGUGGGGAGCAAAC